RNAcentral lists this ribosomal RNA (561 nucleotides) under Triticum aestivum (bread wheat). RNAcentral describes it as "partial small subunit ribosomal RNA". Lineage: Eukaryota; Viridiplantae; Streptophyta; Magnoliopsida; Poales; Poaceae. The record is from RNAcentral.
AUGUGCCCGGCGAGGAUUUCUGUGCUGCGCCUCAGCAUUCUCCCUCUCUCCCUCUGCUCCCUUCCUCCCUGCUCAGCGUGCCCGCUCUCGCCUCCGCACCGCUUCCCUUCGUGCAUCCCACCGGCGACCAUGGCCAAGGAGAAGACGGCGGCGCUGGAGCGUGCCAAGAAGGCGUCGGCAUCGGAGAAGGCGAAGGGGAGAUCCACCAGCCGCCGAGGAUCCUCGUCCAGAUCCCGCCUGCCGAAAGGCUGGGUCCAAGGCGACUGGAUCCAGUCGACCAUCACGGAGAAGGACCUCCUCGACAUGGCCAACGAGGGCUUGAUCCCUCACGGAGCUGCGAGGUUGCCGGGGAAGGAGUGGCAGCCACAGCCAGAAGAGGGUGAGUGUGUGCUUCUGGCCACUCAUGUCGAUCGGGGGUUUUCCUUGCCACCAAGCAUUUUCUUCCGUGGUUUCUUGAAUUUCUUCGGAGCGCAGCUCCAUCAUUUUACUCCAAACUCCAUUGCCUAUCUCGCUGCAUUCGCGUCCAUGUGUGAGGGUUUCUUGGGCUGUCGACCGCACUGA